GGGUCCUGGCUGUGCCCUGGGCCAGCCUCCUAGGGACCUGGUUCCCUGGGCCUCUGCUUGCCUUGGCUACUGACUGUCUUUCCGACCCCUCCACUGGCUUCUUGAUACUCGGGACAACUCCAGGCACAGUCCUGCCUCUGAGCCUCCGCUCGUGGUGUUCCCUCUGCCCUUCUCCCUCACCUGGUGACUGUUACUUCUUCUGCUCCUCUGCCUUCACCUUGGCCUGGGUGCAGCGGCCGGUCCCGCCAGGGAGCAGAGCCCUCCUUCCGGCCGCCUGUGCCCUCUCGCGUCCUGUGGCUGCAGCCUCAGCAGGGAUGUGUUUCUAUGUUGGCUGCUGCUCUGGCCCCGCUUCUCCCAGGCUGGCCCCACUGGGAUCCCCUGCCACGACCAGCCUGUACCAGCACCCUGGGGGAGCCCCAUAAACCUUUGUGAGAUGAGGCCAUGAGUGCAGUGUGGACUAUGGAAAACUCGUUCCAGGUGAAUGGCAGGAUAUUUCAAUCUGCCCCCUUGUACGCUGGCAGGCAGCCGUGAGCAGGGAGGGCGUGUUGGCGGCCAGGCCAAGGGAGGACUUGGAGGACCUGGGGUGGUGGGCAGACCUUGGGUGUGGCAUCUGAUGGAUCCACCCAUCCCCUGGCUGUUGGCCAGUCUGUGUCCCUUCCCAGGAGAAGCAGCUACCUGGGCCCUCUCUGGGAGGUGCCCACCCUUUUCUUGUUUCAAGAAUGAUUUCUUUGGGAGUCCCCAUCGUAGCUCAGUGGGUUAAGAACCUGACUAAUAUCUGUGAGGACGUGGGUUUGAUCCCUGGUCUCGCUCAGUGGGUUAAGGAUCUGGUGUUGCUGUGAGCUGUGGUGUAGGUGGCAGACAUGGCUUGGAUCCCGUGUUGCUCUGCCGGCCUACGCCAGAGCCACAGCAACAUGGGAUCUGAGCCACCUCUGCGACCUACACCACAGCUCAUGGCAACACUGGAUCGUUAACCCACUAAACAAGGCCAGGAAUUUGAACCCACAUCCUCAUGGAAACUAGUUGGAUUCAUAACCUGUUGAGCCACGACAGGAACUCUGGUUUGUUCCUGUUUAAGCAGAAAGGGUGUGUGAUGCUGUCCGCAGGAGCAGGGGUAUCCUUUUUGACUCUUAAAGGUGUAGGGCACGUUAAAACUUGGUAUAGGACUUUGAUGCAAUAGGAUUGGCCAUGUCUCUAAAGCACCAGGACGAAGGCUCCAUCCCAUCCCAGGACAGUGGGUUAAAGGAUCCGGGUUGUAGGAGUUCCUGUUGCAGCUCAGGGGUUUGCUCCCUGGCCUCACUCAGUGGGCUAAGCAUCCAGCAUUGCUGCAUCUGCAGCGUAGGUCACAGCUUGGGUUUGGAUCUGACCCCUGGCCUGGAAACUCCAUAUGCGUCGGGGCAGCCAAAAAUGAAUGAAAAAGAAAGGGUACCUGCGUUAGCUGAUCAGCACGUAGGCACCGUGGGGCUUUUCUCCUGGGAGCACACCUGGUAGGAAAAAGGGACGGCAUGGCAGAUGGCACAUGGCUUUCUCUCUGGUGAGGCCCUGCUGUGCUUGGCAUUUGUUCUCGGUUGGGCUCGGCCCCUGUCCUCUGCAUCGGUUGCCCGUGACGAUGCAGAAGGUGGUGGUAAGUCACCCCAGGGUGAGCGCCCGGGCACAGGCGCCAGGUGUCAGGCACGAGCCCCGGCCCUGAGCAGAUGCUCAGUCAUGGUUCCCGAUGGAACGACAGAGGAAUCUGGGCUCUCACUCCAAGGGCUAAGAAAAUGCCCUUUCAGAAUCUUCCGAGGAGUCUGAGGAGCAGAGGCGAGCUGGUUUCUCACCGUCUUCUCUUCUUGCCCGAGUGUUUGUGGCUGUGGCUUUUAUGGCCGUGCCAAGAGUGGCCUCUGGGGGCUGGCUGACGCCCUGUGUCCUGGCCGGCUCUGGGUUGUUGGGCAGCGUGUGGCCUCCUCGGCCUCACAUGCGUCGUCCACGCCGCAGCCGUUCCCUGGAUCUUGGCUCUCGGCUUCCCGGCCCAGCCCACCUGCUGACGGCUCUGCUGUUUGGUCCUGGCGUCGAGCCGUGUCAGCAGGGGCAGGGGGAUGGGCGACCGAGACAGCCCCCCGCCUCCCGGCCCCUCCGCUGUGCCAGACGUACCCGGGGGCCUUCCACCGAAGGAUGACGCAGCAUUUUGCAAACACAUGUUGCCAACUCGAAUAAAUGCUAGAGAGACAGAGACCCAGGCAUGUGGGCUGGCCAGUUGGAGAGCCAUCCAGCGAGUAGGCCCGUAGGAAAAUGAAUGUCAGUGGCUCUUUGUUCUGACCCUUUUGCACCAAGCUCUGCCCUGGACGAGGGAGCGGACCGGCCGGCCGGGCUCCCGGGCGCAAGACCGCUUUGUGGGCCGCUGCCCCUGGCCUCUAAGUGGGCAUAGUCAUUACACCAAAGGCUGGAAGGAACCACAGAACGGGAUACAUAUUUAGGGAAAUAUGCACACAACUCAGUUUAUUUUUCUUAUCUGAUUUUUUUUUUUCUGGUGCAAUAUGAGUCCUGUUGAAUACUUGGCAGCUGCCUUUCCAUACUCGAGUUGUUUGUCAUUUCUGGGGCUGCCGAUGCUGUUAUGAUCUCCCUUUUGGGAGGAAUUUACAGGCACAUGUUGACCCAGCUGAGUGGGAACAGGGAGCAGCAGGAAUCUGGUGAACAAGGACCAUCACAGACCAGAAAGGAUGCCUUCGCUGCCUUUCUUGACGGCGUCCUCAGAUGAGCCGCUCAGCGCCUCGUGGGGCCGGGGCCAUCGAGGGCGCCACCACUCCGGCUUCGAAAGCCCAGAUCCUCUCUGGGCCCGCCCUUGACAUCAGCCUGCCUUUCCUUUCGUGACUCUCCGGGAGUUGUAGUCGGCCCGGUGCUUUAUUGUCGGGCUGUCAGGAGUCAGCCCUCCGUAGCAGCUGUUGCUAGGUAAGGCGUGAUUUCCCGCAGAGACCAGUGCGGGCGAGGAUGGGGACGUUGGCUGGCAGAGGGCCAGGCGGCCGUGCGGGGGAACAGGCAGGGGCCACGGUGAAGGGCAGGAGGCAGGAGGCAGGACCUUGGCUGCCCUCUGCCCCCUGACCCUGCCACCGUCUGCUCCUGCUUUGCAGUGUCCCCUCUGGCCUCCCCUCCCCCAAAGACCUGGCCUGUGUCUCAUGGCCACCGAGCCCCUCGUGCUCAUUUGCUUCAUUUUCUGGACACCUCCAGCCCGCCAGGGGCUGGGGGUAUGGAGAUGAAUUGGUGCUGCAGGAGCGCAGAGCCCAUAGGAGAAGCAGACCCCGAGGGGGCUGAGCCACCCCCCCACUCCGCCGCUUGGCUGGUGGCUUUACAGCCACAGCAGCUGCUGCCGGCACCUUGCCAUAUCCCUCUGUCCCCCCUCGCCGUCGCCUGCUCAGCAUAGGGACAGUCUCCUGGCCCCAGAACAUCUUCCAGCCCCAGAGGUUACUCCAGGAGAGACCCUUGAUCCCCAAAGGCUGGGAGUUGAUUGGAUCGUUCUGGAAAAUCAUUAAGACGGUCAACUCCGUGUUUUGUGUGUCACCAUCAUAAAAAGACUGAAUGACCGGGCGUGGGGAUGAGGCAGAGGGAGGAAGCUGGGAGCCCGGCCCGGAGCCCACGGCCUGAGGCCAAGUCCCAGCUUUCUGGUCCCUGGCAAACCGCUCUGCCUCCCAGGGCCUCCGUGUUCUCACCCGUGCGCAACGGUCCCGCCGUCGUGGAGCUGCGGUCCAGGGAGACGUGCCUGGUGCUGUAGGGCCGCCGGUCUCGUGAGCGGCACCGACUGGCUUUUGGGGAGAGCGAGUCUGAUCCCAGCAGUGAUGGUGAUGCUCUCCUGUCCCAAGACCGCCGUCACCCCGGCCCCUCGGCCUCCACCCCAGAGCACCUCCUCCUUGUGCUCGGGGCCCGUGAGGCGGGAAGGGCAGCGUCUGAAUUCAAAGCAAGUCCACAAGCUGAAAGAGAAACCAAGUGGAGAGAUCAAAGUCCCACUGGGUUAUUGACCGGUGUGGUUGCAAUGCCCCCUUUCCUGCCGAUUCCGUAGACGCCUUCUGUCCCAUUCCAGCCUGCCUCCUGGUCCCCUCGGAGUGGCCGUAAGUUGUACACAGGCUGCUUCUGAUCCGACGGUAGGCACGGUUGCUGGUAUUUUACAGUGGCUUAGUCUGAACUUUUCCCUACUCUUUUUUGCCUAAAAUCCUUACUUUCAGGAAAUCGCUGUUGUAAGACAGGACUCCGCAAUUACAGCUCUGGGGCCAAGUCCCCCCCCCCCCCAGCCUGUUUCUGUACGCAAAGUUUUAUUGGCACCCGUUGUUUUCCAUAUCUCCGCCGAUGGCUGCCCCAAGCUCGGAGGCGGAGUCAGGUCCUUGCCACGGAGACCAUGUGACCCGCAAAGCCAGAAAUAUUUACUAUCUGACCCUUGGCAGGAAAUGUUGCCAGCAUUCUGUUGUAAGAGAUGCUGAAAUGUUUAAUUCUUUGAGGACUGGGGCACAUAAUUAAUGUUUUUUAGUUCCACCAUGCUAAAAUUAGAAGGAAAACUUAUUUACUAUAACAUGCUCUGUAGUAAUCAUGAAAUAUUGUCUCAUAAUUACUAGUAUUUUAAUGAGCACCCAUCGGCACAUUAGCGAACCUAAGAGAGGAGCUAAAAAGAAGGUAGUGAAAUAUUCCAUCACGUUUCUCCUGACCCAACAGCUAGACGAUAGACCAGCAUGUGAAGUAUUGACAGACCUUUGGCAGUUUUAUCUGCCUCCUUAAAAGUUUAUGUGUCGGAGUUCCUGUUGUGGCUCAGCAGGUUAGGAAUCCGACGAGUUUCCAUGAGGAUGCAGGUUUGAUCCCUGGCUGUGCUCAGUGGGUUAAGGAUCUGGCAUUGCCAUGAGCUGUGGCGCAGGCUGCAGAUGGAGCUCAGAUCCAGCAUUGCGGUGGCUGUGGUGGCUGCAGCUCCAAUUCGACCCGUAGCCUGGGAACGUCCAUGUGCUGUAGGUGGGGCCCUAAAAAGACCAAAAAAAAAAAAAAAAAAAAAAAAAAAAAAAGGAAAGAAAGCAAGCAAGAGAAAAAAGACAAAGCCAUUGUGCUCAAGUAUCGUUCCUUUCCAGGCAUGUGGUUCUCACAUGGUGGAGAAACCCCCCCAAUAAACACGCAUAGACCCUUGGCAGGAAAUGUUGCCGGCAUUCUGUUGUAAGAUUUUUGAAAAAUUGGAGAUACUUUUCUUCUUUUUUUUGUUUUUUGUCUUUUCAGGGCCGAGACUGCGGCAUAU
Molecule: long non-coding RNA, 5230 nt
Filed under: Sus scrofa (pig)
Lineage: Eukaryota; Metazoa; Chordata; Mammalia; Artiodactyla; Suidae
Description: lncRNA (ENSSSCG00065037825.1)
Source: RNAcentral